GAAGGCAGAGAACGCCCAAUGAGAACCCCCCUGGUGCACACAGACUCUACAGCAGCAGCCAGUGAGCAGGGAGCAGAUUUGCAUGAAGGGGCCGUUCUCCAGCUCUGAGGGUUUAAGAGAGAAUCGGAGGGUCCCAGCCAGAGACCCGUUUGCCUCAGGAAGCCGAGCUCGUCUGGAUUCCCGCCAUGGCCUGGGCCCCUCUGCUCCUUGGGCUGUUUGCUUACUGCUCAGGUUCCCUCUCCCAAUAUACUCUGACUCAGCCGCCCUCAGUGUCCAUGUCCAUUGGCAACACAGUUAAACUCUCCUGUGCCAUCGACAGUGGAUACACAUUUGGAGAUGUCGCCUGGUACCAGCAGAAAGAUGGGAAGAGUCCAAGAUAUCUUCUGAGGUACAACAAAGAGACUAACAAACAACAGGGCUCUGGGGUCCCCAGUCGCUUUGCUGGUUCCAAAGACGCCUCUAAUACAACCUGCUACUUAACCAUCACCAGCGUCCAAGCGGAGGAUGAGGCUGACUAUUACUGUGGCACAGGGGGUGGUGGUGCUGCACAGUGACACAGCCAGAUGGGGAGCUCAGACACAAACCUGCUCUUCCCUCUUCCAACGCUGUAUGAGUUCAUCAUGUGUCAGCGCUAAGUUAUGAUCAUUCACCCAGUCUGAAAGCAUUGAGGUGCCCCAUGCGCUGCCCCACUCCCCUGUGAUGACAGCUCACUGACUUGAUCUGGAAAUUUAAGGCAAAGACUUUGUCCCAGGGAACUGAACAGCAGUUUUAACAUUUCUUCAAAGGGAUCAGGGUUUGAGCCCUACAAUGCAGUGCUCCGGCAGCAAUGAGAUUCAGUUAUAAUCCUAAAAGAAACAUUCCUAAAUCCAGUUCCCAGAUACAUGCUGUGAGAGGAGGUAGUUUGUGUUUAUUAAAUACUAGCCGAUUCUUCAGUGAAAUCCAAGUGAAACUCAGAGCCCGAAGAGCUGGGUGUUAGAUCCCAGAGCCCAGGCAUUUCACACACAAGAACAAAGCCAGGGUAGGAAAGGAACAGAUCCUGGCCAUGAUCGAACAGCACCAUGAGGAUCAAACGAGCCUGCGAAAUGACCAGGAUAAACAAGACACAGAAGGGGCUCCCCCUGGUGGGGAUAUUGAGAGCAAUCGAGUAGUAAAGACCCCACCACUCGCCCCAGUCCUGUUAUUGGCGUAUCUGACAAGUCAUGGGAGUACCUAAGUCCUAACUAUUCCUCAAGUGGAUAUGAGCCCAGAGGGACUAAUUGGAGGGACGCAAUAACACGCAGCCACACUCAUAAAUGACAAACUGAGCAGUAGGUAGUUGGGACCUGUCAUGAAUCUCUCCUUAAACUCCAGAGACUAGAGAGAAUAAAAUGUGAUUUGAGAUGCACCUGGAUUUUCCCCGUCUACUCUUCUGCACAUGUCACCAUAGUUCAGUUAUGACUGGGCACCAGGGGGC
Chrysemys picta bellii (western painted turtle) is the source of this 1453-nucleotide non-coding RNA. NCBI's taxonomy places the organism in Eukaryota, Metazoa, Chordata, Testudines, Emydidae. The record is from the annotation of a RefSeq genome assembly.